RNAcentral lists this microRNA precursor (69 nucleotides) under Petromyzon marinus (sea lamprey). RNAcentral describes it as "Pma-Let-7-P2o15_pre stem-loop". It matches the Rfam family "let-7 microRNA precursor family", at positions 7 to 78 of the family's 84-position model. From Rfam's summary of the family: This family represents the microRNAs (miRNA) let-7 and mir-98. let-7 was identified from a study of developmental timing in C. elegans, and was later shown to be part of a much larger class of non-coding RNAs termed miRNAs. Lineage: Eukaryota; Metazoa; Chordata; Hyperoartia; Petromyzontiformes; Petromyzontidae. The record is from RNAcentral.
UGAGGUAGUAGGUUGUAUAGUUUUUUGGGUGCAAUCCCAAACGGGUAACUGUACAAUCUACUGUCUUUC